Mercenaria mercenaria is the source of this 959-nucleotide long non-coding RNA. RefSeq lists it as uncharacterized. NCBI's taxonomy places the organism in Eukaryota, Metazoa, Mollusca, Bivalvia, Venerida, Veneridae. The transcript is spliced from 4 exons. The record is from RefSeq and is a predicted model, not a curated record.
UAAAGUUGCGCCAAGUUUACGCGCUCAGCUUUCUUACACAUGUUUUAAUUAGCAAAAGUUUGAACGUUAAAGUACGACUGCUUGUUACAUGAUUGAUGACAGCCUACUACAGAAAGAAUAUUUAGACAUCAGACCUGUAAAAAAAUAGUGGUAUUACGCCUGAGGCAAAAUAUUUCGUUGAAAAUCAGUUGUUUCCCCUUCGCUAUGGAUGUUUCCGGUUUCGGAUUUUAACAGUAAAACGGGGAAGCCAGUGAAGUUUACUUUUGUUUAACUACCUUUUGUUCAACGAUGAAGGGAUCUGAGACUUGUAAUACUGUUUACUGAUUUGAUGAUAUUCCUUGUUCCUUUGAUGGUUCAUUCCACUAUACAGCUGGUUCAUAUAAUAUAUAACAGCCAGGAAAUUGGCCUGUUUACUUUAAGAUCCCAAGAAAAUGUAACAUAUUUUGGAUGUGCUUUGAGGAAUCAGGAAUGCAAGUGUUUCCUCUUGUUUAUGAAGCAACCCAGUUGGUUAAGGGGCAGACAACUUGUGAGCAUGGUAAAUCACUACCUGUAUUGGUAUUCCAUUUUGACAAUGUUACUAGCUAGAUGGAAAUAACAUUUUGCUGUGGUACAGUCUGUGGAGACUUUUACUAGGAUAUCACAGAUCGAUUGAAUAUUCAACAAUGAUCACAGACCAUGCAAAGUUUGAAUCUGACUUGCACUUUUGAAUUUAGAAGAAUCUGUGGAGGAGGGUGAAUGCUGAGACCUUAAAUAAUACAUGAUAUUGCUGACACAGUGUGUCAGUCAUGAAAGAAAGGCCAUAACACUGCACAGUUGGUCAACAAUGAUUUAAAUCCUGUCACAUUCUACCAGUGAAGAAAUAUCUUAUCACAAUAUUUUAAACUUUUGAAGAAGAUAACCCGGUAUUACCACUUUAUCAUGUCUGCAGAAACACCUGGAUUGUUAGUGUUAAAAGUGAC